This 253-nucleotide ribosomal RNA is filed under the name uncultured bacterium. Its description in RNAcentral is "partial 16S ribosomal RNA". It matches the Rfam family "Bacterial small subunit ribosomal RNA", at positions 524 to 776 of the family's 1533-position model. The record is from RNAcentral.
UAGUCAGGGGGCGUGCGUUAAUAGGAAUUACUGGGCGUAAAGCGUGCGCAGGCGGCUCUAUAAGACAGAUGUGAAAUCCCCGGGCUUAACCUGGGAACUGCGUUUGUGACUGUAGGGCUUGAGCGCGGCAGAAGGGGGUGGAAUUCCACGUGUAGCAGUGAAAUGCGUAGAGAUGUGGAGGAACACCGAUGGCGAAGGCAGCCCCCUGGGUCGACACCGACGCCCAUGCACGAAAGCGUGGGGAGCAAACAGG